Molecule: ribosomal RNA, 844 nt
Filed under: uncultured bacterium
Lineage: Bacteria
Description: bacterial SSU rRNA
Rfam family: Bacterial small subunit ribosomal RNA
Source: RNAcentral
CAGGUCGAACGAUGAAGUUCCUUCGGGAAUGGAUUAGUGGCGAACGGGUGAGAAACACGUGAGAAACCUGCCUUUCAUUUUGGGAUAACUCCGGGAAACCGGAGCUAACACCGAAUACUCCGUCUCGGCGGCAUCGCUGAGCCGGGAAAAAAUUUUGAUGAAAGAUGGUCUCGCGGCCUAUCAGCUAGUUGGUGAGGUAAUGGCUCACCAAGGCGACGACGGGUAGCCGGCCUGAGAGGGCGACCGGCCACACUGGGACUGAGACACGGCCCAGACUCCUACGGGAGGCAGCAGUGGGGAAUAUUGGGCAAUGGGCGCAAGCCUGACCCAGCGACGCCGCGUGAGGGAUGAAGGCCUUCGGGUUGUAAACCUCUUUCAGUAGGGAAGAAGCGAAAGUGACGGUACCUAAAGAAGAAGCACCGGCUAACUAUGUGCCAGCAGCCGCGGUAAUACAUAGGGUGCAAGCGUUGUCCGGAAUUAUUGGGCGUAAAGAGCUCGUAGGUCGUUUGCCACGUCGAUUGUGAAAAUCUGAGGCUCAACCUCAGACCUGCAGUCGAUACGGGCAAACUAGAGUGUGGUAGGGGAGACUGGAAUUCCUGGUGUAGCGGUGGAAUGCGCAGAUAUCAGGAGGAACACCAAUGGCGAAGGCAGGUCUCUGGGCCAUAACUGACACUGAGGAGCGAAGGCGCGGGGAGCGAACAGGAUUAGAUACCCUGGUAGUCCGCGCCGUAAACGAUGGGCACUAGCUGUGAGAACCUUCCACGGUUUUCGCGACGCAGCAAACGCAUUAAGUGCCCCGCCUGGGGAGUACGAUCGCAAGAUUAAAACUCAAAGGAAUUGACGG